GCGCAAGGCCAUCGAGGCCAUGGUGUGCGCGCGAUCUCG
Molecule: unclassified non-coding RNA, 39 nt
Filed under: Sorangium cellulosum So ce56
Lineage: Bacteria; Pseudomonadati; Myxococcota; Polyangiales; Polyangiaceae
Description: sce_s2m_19
Source: RNAcentral